RNAcentral lists this transfer RNA (109 nucleotides) under Escherichia coli. RNAcentral describes it as "tRNA-Leu". The stretch from base 6 to 78 matches the Rfam family "tRNA", at positions 6 to 65 of the family's 71-position model. From Rfam's summary of the family: Transfer RNA (tRNA) molecules are approximately 80 nucleotides in length. Lineage: Bacteria; Pseudomonadati; Pseudomonadota; Gammaproteobacteria; Enterobacterales; Enterobacteriaceae. The record is from RNAcentral.
GCGAAGGUGGCGGAAUUGGUAGACGCGCUAGCUUCAGGUGUUAGUGUCCUUACGGACGUGGGGGUUCAAGUCCCCCCCAGUGGGUCGGAGGUUCGAAUCCUCUCUCGCC